RNAcentral lists this long non-coding RNA (365 nucleotides) under Bos taurus (domestic cattle). Its description in RNAcentral is "long non-coding RNA NONBTAT023893". The record is from RNAcentral. Lineage: Eukaryota; Metazoa; Chordata; Mammalia; Artiodactyla; Bovidae.
UUAUUACUUUUAUCAGGUUAUUUCUUCAUAUAUAACUAAUUCAUAAUUCAGAAACCAUAAAAAUCUGAAGCAAACUUCUAAUCUGUCAUAAAUUAACAGGUUUCAAAACAUGUCACAUUCUAGGAAACAUUUACAUAAUUAGUCUCAAAGCUGUAAAUAUUAGAUAAAUUCAUAGUACUUAAGUGGCAUAUUAAAUCUUGCUCCUUAAAGAACUCUUUAGUUUCCCUCUAUUUCAACCAUAAAUAUGACUUUACUAUAAGGUGUGUACCAUGGCACUCUGCUCAGCUGGCAUCUAUUUGUGUUACAUCAGAUUUAAAUAUAUAACAAAUUUAAUCCAUUUCUUAAUAAAUAUAUAGACUUUUUAA